UACUGACAACAUGUAUCUGUUUUUCGGUAGUGUAUCUCAUUAGAACUCCACAAUUAAGUGUGCUUGACUUGGAGAAAUAUAGGUAUGGGUGACCUUCUGGGAAGUUCCCCAGAUAUUCUGUAA
Molecule: non-coding RNA, 123 nt
Organism: Cajanus cajan (pigeon pea)
Lineage: Eukaryota; Viridiplantae; Streptophyta; Magnoliopsida; Fabales; Fabaceae
Source: Rfam